Molecule: long non-coding RNA, 318 nt
Filed under: Homo sapiens (human)
Lineage: Eukaryota; Metazoa; Chordata; Mammalia; Primates; Hominidae
Description: non-protein coding lnc-SLC20A1-2:1
Source: RNAcentral
GCUCUUGAGCUGCAUGAAGUCACUGGAACACAGUAGAGCUUCUGAACCUGUAGCUGGAGAUGAGUAUCACCAGCCAACAUCCUUGGCAGAGCUGUGAGCCAACAGCCAGCCCCAGCCUGCCAGCCGUGUGAGCAAGCAGUCUUGGAAGGUGAUUCUACAGCCCCAGCUGAAACACUCCAACUGAUGCCAUGUGAGCCGAGAAGAGCAGCCAAACUGAGCCCUUCUCAAAUCCCUGAUCCUCCAAAUCUCCUCCUGAAAAGCAUGCAGCCGGCAGAAGAUCUGGAUACCACAGAGACUGAGAUUCUACAUGUGUUCAGA